RNA transcript from Nematostella vectensis (starlet sea anemone), 682 nucleotides. RefSeq lists it as uncharacterized. The transcript is spliced from 3 exons. NCBI's taxonomy places the organism in Eukaryota, Metazoa, Cnidaria, Anthozoa, Actiniaria, Edwardsiidae. The record is from RefSeq and is a predicted model, not a curated record.
AUGUCUGAGGGCGGGGCUAGAAUGUUAUAAAAACAUGUUAUCUCCAGUUUGCCUUAGUCAAGCUCAGCCGGCUACAGAGAACAGAACUUCUUUCAAAGAGCGUUCAAGAGAAAUUCUACUUAAGGUAUAGUCCCCAUCCUCCAAGCUACUGCCACACGAUGAACUCAAGAAUGUUUGUUGUCGGUCUCCUUGUUGCCUUGGUGAUCUGUGCAAACUUACCCACCUCAGACGGGCUACCAGGUGGUAGACGCCGCGACUACAGGCGCCGCCGAAGCCUGACCAACAAUAAGUUCAAGAAAAGCGCUGUCGUCCCAAAGAUGAAGACGAACACGGAUUUCGACGAAUUAAUUAACCAUUUGAAGGCAUUAAAUGAGGACAACGACAGGCCGUUCAAGUAGAAUAGAGCCGAAGCACCGGUUAAACCAAGCUACAAUGUAGCAAUGUUUAUUAGAAUAACGUUACACAAUGAGAUUUCUUAAAAUUGUACGUUUUGCAAUACAAUGGAUAUCAGAAACUUGUAUGCUUCUUGAUAAAAUAGUUGACUGGAAUUGUAAUUAGAUAAUAGAUGGAUUAAGGUUAGCGCAAUCCAGCACAAGUUGUCUCAAGUUUUGUAAAGUGGUCAAACACUAACGCGAAGGCAAAAUGAAAAUAAAAACUAGCCCGAGUUGAUGUAAAUGUAAAA